Molecule: non-coding RNA, 28 nt
Filed under: Cricetulus griseus (Chinese hamster)
Lineage: Eukaryota; Metazoa; Chordata; Mammalia; Rodentia; Cricetidae
Source: RNAcentral
GGGCUGCGGGUUGCGUCGCCGGGCAUGG